This is a long non-coding RNA of Numida meleagris (helmeted guineafowl), 1836 nucleotides long. Lineage: Eukaryota; Metazoa; Chordata; Aves; Galliformes; Numididae. The record is from Ensembl.
CCUCCUUCAAAUUUGGACGCCUCGAUUGCUUGAAACUGUAUAUAAUUAGGUACCACGUACUUCAGAGCUUUACACAACUUGAAUACUGAAAAAUAUUGAAAGGGCUGAAAAAUGUGAAUAGUGAAAAAUACUGGUAUUGCAGGAUCCUGUCAUUCCAGUUCUGAAGUCUUAAAGAGGCAGGGAAUGAAGUCUAGAUGUGGCAAAAUAUGUCAGAACAAAGAACAGAAGUAAAGCAAGAGGACCGCCUGACUUAUAUUUAAUGCACACAGCCUUUUAUCUUACAAGCAGGCCUAGUCCCUAAUCUCAGUGAGGCCGCAGCAGGGCUGGUCCCCAGCUCCCCACAGCCCAGCCCUGUCCUGCCUUGGGUUCUGUCCAGACAGGGCCACCCAUGAGCCAACAGCCCAGCCUGGCCUUGGUCUGUCCCUGACUUCAUGGAUAUGUCUGUGUCCCAAGACUGGGGCUGCCCCCAUGCCCCCUACCUGCUUGGCUCCUGGCUGGGGCUGUGGGAAGGGAUGAGCUGCCAUGCCCUGCCUGAGGCCCUGAUGGGCCCUGCCACACUCAGCCUUGGUUCACAGGGAAUCACCAGCCUUUGCUGUUCCCUGGUGUGAAUUUGAUAUUUAUCUUCUCCAUCUUGGUAGAGAGUCAUCUGGGCUGCAUCAAAAGAAGUGUGGCCAGGAGGUCAAGGGAGAUGAUCCUGCCCCUCUACUCCGCAUAGGUGAGACCUCACCUGGAGUACUGCGUCCAGAUGUGGAGUCUUCAAUACAGGAGAGACAUGAACUUGUUGGAGCAUGCCCAGAGAAGGGUCACAAAAAUCGUCCAAGGGUGGGAACAUCUCCCCUAGGAGGACAGGCUGACAGAGCUGGGGCUGUUCAGCCUGGAGAAGAGAAGGCCACUGUCAGUGGUCUUUCAAUAUCUACAGAGGAGCCAUAGGAAGGAAGGGGACAGACUCUUUAGGAGGGUCUGUCGUGAUAGGAUGAGAAGACAUGGUUUCAAACUAAAAGAGAGUGAGAUUUAGACUGGAUAUAAGGAAGAAGUUAUUUACAGUGAAGAUGGUGAGGCACCAAAACAGGUUGCCCAGAGAGGUGGUGGAUGCCCAAUUCCUUGGAGACAUUCAAGGUCAGGCUGGACAGUGCUCUGAGCAACCUGAUCUAGCUGUAGGUGUCUCAGUUCAUUAAAGAGGAGUCUCUUCCAAUUCAAAAGAUUCUAUUAUCUCUUUUCCUUCAUAAUUAAAUACCUAGUGUCUGAUACUUAGAUGACAGGCAGACUUUGUCAUUACUGCUCUCCUAAACAUGAUGUUUUUAGGCAUGGCAUCAGGUUUCUGGUGCAUGGGAGUAGAGAAGUUUUCACUCAUUUUCUUUGGGUCUAUUAAACCUCCCAGUGUAAGCAAGUGACAAGAAAACACCCUCCAAAUGUAAAAAUGCUCCUCUACUUGCCUUUGGUAGACUAUUUCACUGUUUGAGGAACAAGAGAAAAAAAACUGAAAGCAAUACAUUUAAAACAAACACUUUCAGCUGCUGUGUUACUGUCCACAGACAGAACCAUAUGAAAACACUACGCAGUAAUAGCUAAGCAGAAUAGAAGAUACCUUCACCCUCUUUCAGUUCUAAGUAGUGUCAGUAGCUGGCAGCCUGUUUGUUCUGUAAUAGAUGACUUUCUCUGCUGUUUCACAACAAGCAUUUCUUUCACAUACCAUCCUUCAAUCUCUGUGUAACUGUGCAAGUUGGAUAAUGUCUUAUAAUAACAAUUCAACAAGGCAUAUGUGGAGCUUAGUAAAUAACUUGAAAAAACUCAAUUCAGAAUCAAUUAUGAGUUCAAUUACUCAAAUAUGAAUUCAAC